RNAcentral lists this long non-coding RNA (460 nucleotides) under Citrus sinensis (sweet orange). RNAcentral describes it as "long non-coding RNA (CSIN_LNC005710)". Lineage: Eukaryota; Viridiplantae; Streptophyta; Magnoliopsida; Sapindales; Rutaceae. The record is from RNAcentral.
CCGGCUGAUCUUGGUCGUUAAGGACAGACCUUCGACCAAGAAAUUUGAAGCUGUCGUUUGGGAGAAGCCAUGGGAGCAUUUCAAGAGUCUCACCUCGUUUAAGCCUAUGCCUGGGGGAUGGACUCCGAUAGACCCCACGGAGAAGCACGUGAUGGAGAUCGGGCAGUUCGCGGUGACAGAGUACAACAAACGGUCAAAGAGCGCGUUGAAGUUCGAGAGCGUGGAGAAGGCCUGGACUCAGGUGGUUUCCGGCACCAAUUACCGGCUGAUCUUGGUCGUCAAGGACGAACCUUCGACCAAGAAAUUGUUAGUUGUCGUUUGGGAGAAGCCAUGGGAGCAUUUCAAGAGUCUCACCUCGUUUAAGCCUAUGCCUGGGGGAUGGACUCCGAUAGACCCCACGGAGAAGCACGUGAUGGAGAUCGGGCAGUUCGCGGUGACAGAGUACAACAAACGGUCAAAG